AAUCAACGCUGGCGGCGUGCCUAACACAUGCAAGUCGAACGCGAAAGUGGAGCAAUCCAUGAGUAGAGUGGCAAACGGGUGAGUAACACGUGGGUGACCUGCCUUCGAGUGGGGGAUAACGUUUCGAAAGGAACGCUAAUACCGCAUAACAUCCUGCCUUUUAAGAGGUGGAGAGCAAAGCCGGGGAUCGUAAGACCUGGCGCUUGAAGAGGGGCCCGCGUCUGAUUAGCUAGUUGGUGGGGUAAUGGCUCACCAAGGCAACGAUCAGUAUCCGGCCUGAGAGGGCGGACGGACACACUGGGACUGAGACACGGCCCAGACUCCUACGGGAGGCUG
This 336-nucleotide ribosomal RNA is filed under the name uncultured Acidobacteriota bacterium. RNAcentral's name for it is "bacterial SSU rRNA". It matches the Rfam family "Bacterial small subunit ribosomal RNA", at positions 32 to 351 of the family's 1533-position model. Lineage: Bacteria; Pseudomonadati; Acidobacteriota. The record is from RNAcentral.